Podarcis lilfordi (Lilford's wall lizard) is the source of this 82-nucleotide non-coding RNA. NCBI's taxonomy places the organism in Eukaryota, Metazoa, Chordata, Lepidosauria, Squamata, Lacertidae. The record is from the annotation of a GenBank genome assembly.
GCCUUGCAUAGCUCAGUGGUAAAACACCUGCCAUGCAUGCAGAAGGCCCUGGGUUCAAUCCCCGGCAUCUCCAGUUAAGGCU